This 1847-nucleotide long non-coding RNA is filed under the name Diabrotica virgifera virgifera (western corn rootworm). RNAcentral describes it as "uncharacterized LOC126887331". Lineage: Eukaryota; Metazoa; Arthropoda; Insecta; Coleoptera; Chrysomelidae. The record is from RNAcentral.
UCAAAAUAAAUUUUGUGGAACGAUCUUUUUCUAAUUUUAUUAAAAGAAAAUGUCUGUUAACUCUAAAAAUAUGGAUUUAUUUGAUGACGAGCUUUUAAUAUUUUCGUUUUUUAUGAUCUUGGACCUAAUUUACACAAUAUGUGUUCAAUCACUUAAGGUUUGUCAGCAUAGACAAAAAGCAUAUCAUUCGAAUAUUUAUAUUAUUAUUAUGUAUCUAAUUACCAUAUAAGUACGUACUAUGACUAUGAUCUACAUCAAUCAUCAUACGGAUGAGGACAUUAUUUUUCCAAUAAAUAAACCAAUCGUUCGUCAUUUAUUUUAAUGCAAAAUGUAUAAAAAUUGUCAGUAAAACUUGGUCACACACUUAUAACAAAUUUUUAUUGGGCAUUUGACAGUAUUUUUAAUACUGCCUUCUGAUUGGUUCCGGGAAUACAACGGGAACGAGAAAGUUAAAACAUGGUCAACUUUCCCGUUCCCGUUACCGGACAGCUUCUCGUUCUCGGUUAUUGUGCAUCUACAACAUUAAUUUACGGUUAACUUUUUUCCCGUUCCCGGGCAAUUGUGCAGCCGCCUUAAACUGACAUGGCCAUAGACAUAGCUAAAUACGGACAUAAGGCAGGUACACGGACCCGAUCCGUCAACUGUCAGUGUCAGUUAAAUUCACACGUGAUAUUUGUGACAUUUGAUAGACGUCAAGUUUUAUUUUUGUUUGUAGAAAUGGAAUAUUUUAUAUUGCUUGUACAGCUGGUUCCAAAAAAAACUGAUACGACUCUUAAAGCGUAUUUUGUAGAAAAUUGAGCAGUGUACUUUCUUCUUCUUCUUCUUUUUGGUCUCGCUGCAAGGCAAUUACCAGCACGAUCAUAGAAGAGUAGGUGGGGAGCACGAUUUAUAGGCGAUCUUGAUGUAGUCUGGCUCUAAGCCAUACCAAAAUCGCUGACUACGUUCUUGUAAAAAGUUUUUGAUGAGGUGUGAUAUAAUGAAUAUGAGUUUAAUUAUAUUUAAUUUAUUAUAUUUUGAAGGAUAAAUACUUAUUAUUUACAUACUGUCAUUGUUACUGCCAAAUCUUAAAAUUGGUCAGAUAACUUCAACCUCAUAAAAUGGCAGUUUGUUUGUUUAUUUUAUUAUUUGCCUGUCAUAAUAAAUAUAAUAUAAUGUCAGACCAAUCAUACACUGCUCAAAAUGAUCAAAUCUUACUAAGAGUCCUAUCAGUUUUUUUAGGAACCAGCUGUACGUUAUUAUUUAAUUUCUAUAAAAUGGUAAUGUGUUGGGUACCCGAAUGGUUAUCAUUGAUAUUGAAAUCUGCUAAACGGAGUAAAACUACUCCUUUUAUGUUCCUGCUACUUUUAUAAAGAAAAUCUUCUCACCAUAUUUUCAAAUAGGACUAGUGAAGAUGCUGAAGAAAUGCAGUAGUACUAUCUUGUGUGUAAAUCCUUGAUUUUGUGUAAUUUAUAAAAUUGAAAGCAGUAUGAUAUGACUAACAAUGAUUGUGCCUUUAUAAAAAAAUAUAUCACAGGUACAAUAAUAAUGUAUUAUUGUCUUUUUUGAUAACUAUAAAAUGCGGUUACAAUGUUGUUUCAGCAUAACAUUCGUAUAGAUUUCCAUUUUAGCAUAUCAAGAACGAUCACAAUUUAGUGAAAGUGUACAUGGGAAUAACAACUACUGUAUAUUGAAAUAUUGUUUAAUAUUUAAUAUGCUAAGUAAUAUUCAGUUAGAAUAUUAUCAUGGAUCAUGGAUGGGUGAAAUAUCACAGUUUUAACAAAAAAAAAAGAAUGUGUUGUAUUUUGUACGCACCUAAGAAGUUAUACUUCUAUUAUAUGAUUUCAAUGAAAUAAACAUUUUAAACAGUU